GACGAACGCUGGCGGCGUGCUUAACACAUGCAAGUCGAACGGAAAGGCCUGCUUUCCCUUGUGGAUUGCGGGUACUCGAGUGGCGAACGGGUGAGUAACACGUGAGUGAUCUGCCCCCAACUUGGGUAUAAGCCUGGGAAACUGGGUCUAAUUCCCGAUAGGACUGCAGGGUGGUGCCUGUGGUGGAAAACGAUUUUCUAGUGGUUGGGGAUGAGCUCGCGGCCUAUCAGCUUGUUGGUGGGGUAAUGGCCUACCAAGGCGGCGACGGGUAGCCGGCCUGGGAGGGUGGACGGCCACAUUGGGACUGAGAUACGGCCCAGACUGCUACGGGAGGCAGCAGUGGGGAAUAUUGGACAAUGGGCCGAAGCCUGAUGCAGCGAGGCAGCGUGGGGGAUGACGGCCUUGGGGUUGUAAACUCCUUGCGAAGGAGAGGAAGCCACCUGGUUGGAAGGGUGGUGACGGUAGUGGUAGAAGAAGCACCGGCUAACUACGUG
RNAcentral lists this ribosomal RNA (494 nucleotides) under uncultured bacterium. RNAcentral's name for it is "partial 16S ribosomal RNA". It matches the Rfam family "Bacterial small subunit ribosomal RNA", at positions 28 to 507 of the family's 1533-position model. The record is from RNAcentral.